AUACUUACCUGGCAGGGGAGAUACCAUGAUCACGAAGGUGGCUUUCCCAGGACACAGCUUAUCCAUUGCACUUCGGAUAUGCAGACCCUUAAGAUUUCCCCAAAUGUGGGAAACUCGACUGCAUAAUUUGUGGUAGUGGGGGACUGCGUUCACACUUUUCCCUG
RNAcentral lists this small nuclear RNA (164 nucleotides) under Erinaceus europaeus (western European hedgehog). Its description in RNAcentral is "U1 spliceosomal RNA (ENSEEUG00000017078.1)". It matches the Rfam family "U1 spliceosomal RNA". From Rfam's summary of the family: U1 is a small nuclear RNA (snRNA) component of the spliceosome (involved in pre-mRNA splicing). The record is from RNAcentral. Lineage: Eukaryota; Metazoa; Chordata; Mammalia; Eulipotyphla; Erinaceidae.